Molecule: ribosomal RNA, 553 nt
Filed under: uncultured bacterium
Lineage: Bacteria
Description: partial 16S ribosomal RNA
Rfam family: Bacterial small subunit ribosomal RNA
Source: RNAcentral
UAGGGAAUCUUCCACAAUGGACGCAAGUCUGAUGGAGCAACGCCGCGUGAGUGAAGAAGGCUUUCGGGUCGUAAAACUCUGUUAUUGAAGAAGAACGUGCGUGACAGUAACUGGUCAUGCAGUGACGGUAUUCAAUCAGAAAGUCACGGCUAACUACGUGCCAGCAGCCGCGGUAAUACGUAGGUGGCAAGCGUUGUCCGGAUUUAUUGGGCGUAAAGCGAGUGCAGGCGGUCUUUUAAGUCUGAUGUGAAAGCCUUCGGCUUAACCGAAGAAGGGCAUCGGAAACUGGGAGACUUGAGUGCAGAAGAGGAGAGUGGAACUCCAUGUGUAGCGGUGAAAUGCGUAGAUAUAUGGAAGAACACCAGUGGCGAAGGCGGCUCUCUGGUCUGUAACUGACGCUGAGGCUCGAAAGCGUGGGUAGCAAACAGGAUUAGAUACCCUGGUAGUCCACGCCGUAACGAUGAAUACUAAGUGUUGGAGGGUUUCCGCCCUUCAGUGCUGCAGCUAACGCAUUAAGUAUUCCGCCUGGGGAGUACGACCGCAAGGUUGAAAC